UAAUAAAGUCAAAAAGGACAGAAAAGUCAAGAAAGAAGGGUUAAAUUUAGAAAGUCUGAUCCGGUAGUAAACUUAACUGGGAUGGGAUUGUCUGGUUAGAAAGCAGUGGAGCGAGCCCUUCUCUCUUUCCUCAAGGGAGAGUCAGAGAGGCUCGUCACCUCCAAGUCCUCCUUCAUCUCUCUCUCUAUCUUCCCUUCGAUCCUUUCAGAUCUUCAUCGUUUGUAAAGCUUCAGACUUUUGACUUCCAUCAUUAAGAUUGCUCUUGACCCCAAGAUUUUUGAGUUAACAUCUGCUUAAUUCUGCACAAUCUCAGAAUAAUCUUGUUUUGCUUGAUCCUGUAUCCCUUUUUGACGGAUGUGGAUUAAGGAAAGAGGGUUUCCCUGAUGUCAUGAGGGGAGGAUGUUAACAACGUUAAUGAAACUUCUGAGUGGGCAAGUCAACAAUCUUCUCGAGGAUCAGAGCCAAGUUGAGUCUGCCCCUCUGGUCCUUACGGAACUUUUAUUGGCAUCUAUGACGGUCACGGCGGCCCUGAGACCUCACGCUUUGUCAAUGAUCAUCUCUUUCAGCAUCUAAAGAGAUUUGCAGCAGAGGAAGCCUCUAUGUCGAUGGAUGUAAUCAGAAAAACAUUCGAAGCGACAGAAGAAGGGUUUCUCGGGGGUUGAGGAACCAAGAAGCUGUUGGCAUUGUUCAGAACCACCCACGAAACGUGCGGUUACACUCAAUUGUUUUCAAAGUUUCAGUUAAGCAAAACCAGAUACUGAUUGUGUCCUUUGUGCAUGGAAUUGCACGUAGACUUGUGAAGAUGUUGCUGCGAGCAGCGGCAAAGAAGAGAGAGAUGAGAUACUCUGAUCUGAAGAAGAUAGAGAGGGCGUGAGGAGGCAUUUUCACGAUGAUAUCACUGUGGUUAUCACUGCGGUAUGACUUUCCCCAAGAAACUCUAAAAGCUACUAUAUCCCACUUUUUUUUAGAUUCCAUCUUUUGUAGUUAUUUAAAAAGAUCACAAUCUUUGUUGGUCUAAGAAUUUGUAUAAUUUUUAACGUGGAAGCCACACAAUACUUACGUUUGCAACCCAUUCCAGUAAUUAUUUAUUUUUUAUUUGUUCAACGAGACUCUGUGCAAUCUUUGUAAUUGUUGUUGAUGAAUGAAUGUAAUAGCCUUUCUUUUGUUU
Molecule: long non-coding RNA, 1168 nt
Organism: Brassica napus (rape)
Lineage: Eukaryota; Viridiplantae; Streptophyta; Magnoliopsida; Brassicales; Brassicaceae
Exons: 3
Source: RefSeq, a predicted model, not a curated record